Elaeis guineensis (African oil palm) is the source of this 3845-nucleotide long non-coding RNA. RefSeq lists it as uncharacterized. The record is from RefSeq and is a predicted model, not a curated record. Lineage: Eukaryota; Viridiplantae; Streptophyta; Magnoliopsida; Arecales; Arecaceae.
UCUCUCUCUCUCUCUCUCUCUCUCUCUCCGCCGUCCAUCCCCAUCUGGACGGCUGACAGACGCCUUCCCCCAAACCGGCUCUGCCUAUAAAAGAGAGAGAAAUGGAGGAAGGGAGAGGAGGGCGGGGGUUGCAUGAAGUCGUGGUCAUUUCUGGAGGCCCGGGACCUGCUGCUCCUCUCUUUUGUCUUUACUCCCCCCCACCCGUUACCCCUUCUUUAUUGUCUUUUAUCUUCUCCCCAGCCCCUUUCUCUACUCAAACGUAAUCAUUUCAGCUAUCAUCACCCUUCUUCUCUCGUCUCUAUCUCUCUAUAAUUUGCCCCCCUAGAAAGAAGCCGGGACUUGUGGGGAAGAAACGAGAAGAGAGGAAGUUUUUCUUUGAGGGGAAUGUUGUCUGGCUCGAGGCUUCCAAUUCUUGGAACUUUUUUUUUGCUUUAGAUUUGGUGUUAAAGGAAAAAAAAGAUCUCGGACCAGGCUUCAUUCCCCCCAAUCACAGCUUCCAUCAUCAUCUUCGACUCUUGAAUCGGCUGAUAUCUUCGAUCUAUAUGCAGGAUGGUUUGUGGGGGAGAAGGGAGGGGGAUGCAGAUUGGUGUAAUGAUGGUGGGUUUGGACUCCCGCGCUCUCUAUCAUUCUGCUUCUGUUCCCUUUCUUUCUUUCUUUUCCAGUCUGACAGGAAAAAGGGCAUGCACAAAAAGGUUUUCAUCAUAUAACUUUUGAAGUGAUCUUCUUUUUCCCUCAUUCCUUUCCCCCCUUCUCUGCUUCUUAAUCUUUUCUUAGUUAGCAAGCUUAUUCAUGAUAGGAUAUGAGAUCUAGCUCUUUCCCCUUUCUUUUCGUUUGAUUUCCCGUCCUUAUUUUUCUUCCUUUUUUUCUUUUUUUUCCUCCACUCAUGGGACUUUAAGAAAAGCAUAUUUCUAAAGUAAAAGUUUGGUAAACCCAGCCGUGAUGUCCUUCUUUUGAGUGCUUAUUUUUAUUUUACUGUGAAUCAUUUGAAGUGCUCAGACUUGAGGACAGGAAGAUCUUAUUAUAAUGAUGAGUGAUUAAUUUCAUCUAGUAAUGGAGCUAUUUCCUGGGUUUACCGUCAACAAGGAUAUUGGAGAUGUACUCCCGGAUCCAUGGUUAUGUGAUCGGAAAAAAGGGAAGUAUUCUAUUUCUCUAACACUUUCCAUAUCGUGAUUCCCAUAUAUCAUUUGAUGCGACCAUGUUUAAGGAGUCACAUGCAUGCAGUUCUGGUGGAGAUUUUUGUGAGGGAAGUAUUGAAUAUGAUUAUUUCUAUGAUACAUUUAUAUUGUCUGAUGAGAUCUCAUCGGAGAUCACUUUGUUCCUAUCCUCCAUUUCUCUUUAUUUUCGCUCCUUGCACACUACUUUUCUUGAUGAUAUGCGAUCACUGCACCAUCAAAACAAGGAAAUAUUCAAUUUGGCUACAUGGAUGAGAUUAGUUACCCUGAAAUGAAAUGAGUCUUUUUUUUUCUUUUCUUUUCUUUUCUUUCAUGCAUGUUUCCUCCUACCGCACAUGUCGAAUCCUUACUAGUAUUUCUUUAUAUCACCAAUUUAAAUGCAUAAUCGACGAGAUUCACCUAGUCUUCUGCAUAUAUUUGAUUUUGAUCAGCAUUAUUCAAGUUCAACUCCUUACCAUUUUUGAUCCACAUAUCUAACUCGUUAACUUGUCUUCUUUUUUUCCUUUUUUUGUCCUUUUACCCAUUUUAUCUUUCGAGCAUUUGAAUUAACUGUAUGCUUUAGUUGUCAGUGAAUAUAAAGAUUCCAAAUUAGUUAUUUCAUGUCUGGCAUUCAUGGGGUUCUGAAGUUUACAGCGGAUGGCUUUUGUUUGCACCUAAGAACUAGUAAAAAGCCUCAGGUCGUAUGCUCUAACCUUUGCAUCUCUUUGAGCUGUUGGUAUCGUUAAAGCUAAUCUGUUGUUUUUGUUGCGCUAGCUGUUGUUUGUUACCCCCGGCAUGGCAUUAAUCUCUCUUUAUUGACAGUGGAUCCUCCAUGUAGAAAAGCAAGAAGAUUAGGUCAGAUGGUGGUUAUCAUCCUGGGUACGAGCAGUGAGCAAAGCUAGGGAGACACGUGUGGUGUUGGUCCGUAGCUCGUGGGAAUGGUCAUUUGAGCUGCUGUCAUCCAAUGUAUAGGGUUUAUAGGGAGGGGUGGUCUAGGGUUUGCUUGCGAGGAAAAAGAGGAAAAUGUCUGUCUCCACCACCCCGCCUUAACCAGAAAGACCAACGUCAUUUGUCCCAUGCAUUGGAUCCCAUCUCUCUCACUCCCAUCACCUGACAGCCCUUCUAAUGCUGCCGAUGCCCUCAGAAAACCCACCCUUCCUGCAACUACUUUUAGGAGGUAAAAACAGUUCCCAAGUUUUAAUGCAAACCAUCUCCGGAAUCUGGUGAUCAAUCAGUUAUAAUCACUAGUUACAACUUUAUCUCACUCACUACUAGUCCUUGGGUUGGAAGUUAUGCCUUUUGGCUUGGGGAACAUGGACUUCAUCUUGGCUUUUGGCCGGUGCUUUACCUUGGGAGUCUCGUGUCCACAACUUUCCAUGUUUGAUGGCAACUCUACACCUACAUUUUGGAAUGGUACAUCAAUCAGCACAAGUGGUUUGUGUGAUGCCUGUCUCGCUUUCAACUCGUUUUUAGACUUCGAACAGCUGCAGGAGAGCCACAUGUAAACAAGUAUGAAAAGCUAUUGAACUUGUCUGUUUCAAGGGCUUCUUAUUACUUAUCCACGAAACAUAGUUGUUGCUUCUCUCUGAAUGACAUUUUGAGUUGUUUUUUUUUGGUACCUCUGAUGUUAUCUUUUGACUAGUGGGCACCUUUGAUGGCUCUAUCUUAUCGAUGAUAGCCUGCUACCAGGUACAGAUACAUUCCAGAAAAAGAGAAGAAAAGGAAAAGAAAAAAGAAAAGGAAUAAAAUAAAAGAGAUGCUCGGUGGCCAAGGAUCCACUAAAUAUAUUUACCAAUAAAAGACCCACUAAAGAUUGAGCGAAAGCAACAAAAAGCCUUGUUGAACUUAAACCUUCACCUUAUGGAGAUAAGAACAUCUUUUAGCUAGGUUCGGCAAAGACCUUCUUGAUUGAAAAAAGCUUCAGUAAGUGGUCCUGUCAAAUAAGACUUUUAUAGGAGCUAGAAAGAAGGCAAUUGAUGAUGAUAUUGAUCGUAAAUAACUUGAGGUGAUGAAUGUUUUCUGUUUAACAGCACAGUUCUCGUUUUAUGUCUCAAGUUAAUUUGAGCAAUAACUUGUCUGAUUUUGCAGUUGUUGUAACUGCAUGAGAUUAUUUUAUUUAAGAAAAGGAAUUGAAGUGUGGUCUUUCAUAGUUUUCUGAGUAGAGUAUGGCUUUGAAAUAAACGAACAACUCAUCCACUUUGUCAUUUGGUACUUAGGCAAAAUAUCUAUAGUAAAGGUUUUCAAAUGCGAUGGUGGCGAUGUUAUGAAGUUCCCCAGCGGCUACGACAGACGAUCACGUAAAAUUUCAGAGAUGCAGUGACUUCAACAAGUUCGUGUUAUGAAGCACUUGUAACUUCUUGCAUUAAUCCCAAAUAUCAGUUGUUGAAUCUAAAGAAAGUCAGCUAACAUCUAAUUUGACUGCCUCAUGGUAGAAAUGGUGUGUUUACCCAUCAGCUUGAUGAUUAUGAUAACUUUAGGAAUGGCAAUGCGUGUAAGGAAUGGCAACUCCAUUUCAAUCAUAGACUUCUGAGGCCAAGCCACCUUGAGUCAGAUCUGGGAGGUCAGAUAAAUUUUAAGGGGUUGGGUUGGCCAUGCAGUGCAAGCUUGUAUUCCUGUUUAGGUCAGGUAAGUUGAAUUCUUCAUGUAUAAACCAUUGUAUGUUACAUUAUUACUAUCAUCAUUUUUUUUAUUGUA